This is a long non-coding RNA of Austrofundulus limnaeus, 940 nucleotides long. RefSeq lists it as uncharacterized. The record is from RefSeq and is a predicted model, not a curated record. NCBI's taxonomy places the organism in Eukaryota, Metazoa, Chordata, Actinopteri, Cyprinodontiformes, Rivulidae. The transcript is spliced from 3 exons.
GUUUGGAUUCAUCCCCGAUGAUGUCGCUCUGACGUCAGCAACCAAUCAGAGCACAGAUGGGACAGAUGGCGAAAACAAAUUGAUCCUUUUAUUCAAUCUUACCUCCAGAAAGACUGAAGUCUUCAUGGAGCUAGAAGCAAGCAGAUUGAUGACUGACAGGCAGUCUGGAAGCUCCUUCAGGUACAGUCCUGCUCCUUCAGGUCCAGUUUGGAUCACGCUGUUCUGAAAUUCCUGUCGAACCCCACCAAAAUGAUCUCAGUCCGCUCCAGCUGCAGUUGUCUCCUCUGAAGGACUUUAUCAUUUGCUGUGAUCACUCAGUUUCUCCCAACCCGAGCAUGUGAGUCCUGUGAUUCCUCUUUGAUACAAAAAGCUCCUUGUCUUCAGAGGAGUGGAGGGACGGAGGGUAAAGAUCAGGAGUGGAGAGGGAGACGUCUGUUCAUCUCCCAGGCACAUACUGCAGCUAUUAGAUUUAAAGAGGCGUGACUGCUUCUUAAUUAGGAUGAUUCGCACAGCUGUGUAGAUAUUUAAAAAAAGAACAUGCUAUUGCAGUGGUCUUGUAAAGUUGAAAGCUGGGUGUGUUGGAGCUAACACAGAAAUGUGUCAACAUGAAGUUGUGUUUUUCUUCCCCUUUUAUUACAUUAAUUAGGCUUAAAAAGCACAAUAUGAUAGAGUCAGAGAAAUAUUUCAGCUUGACUCUAGUGAUUAGAAGCUUUGUAACAAAAUCUCCCUUCUCCCUGCAACCAGCUGACAAAGUUCAAAGCUGGGUUUUCAGUCGUUUGUUUUGAUCUUAUUAAAUGUGUCAGGGUUUCGGAAGAUUUGGAUCCAGCAGGAAAGCAGAAUGACAGGAGGCGCUCGAAACAAACUAGGUUUAGUUUUAACAACAUCAAAAAAAAAAAAGGUUACGCAACUAAGGAAUCACAAGGUGAACCGGAAGUGGCUU